This 752-nucleotide ribosomal RNA is filed under the name uncultured Actinomyces sp. RNAcentral describes it as "bacterial SSU rRNA". It matches the Rfam family "Bacterial small subunit ribosomal RNA", at positions 28 to 776 of the family's 1533-position model. The record is from RNAcentral. Lineage: Bacteria; Bacillati; Actinomycetota; Actinomycetes; Actinomycetales; Actinomycetaceae.
GACGAACGCAGGCGGCGUGCUUAACACAUGCAAGUCGAACGCUGAAGGCCCAGCUUGCUGGGUCGGAUGAGUGGCGAACGGGUGAGUAACACGUGAGUAACCUGCCCCCUUCUUUGGGAUAACGGUCGGAAACGGCUGCUAAUACCGGGUAUUCACUGUCCUUCGCAUGGGGGGUGGUGGAAAGGUUUUUUCUGGUGGGGGAUGGGCUCGCGGCCUAUCAGCUUGUUGGUGGGGUGAUGGCUUACCAAGGCUUUGACGGGUAACCGGCCUGAGAGGGUGACCGGUCACAUUGGGACUGAGAUACGGCCCAGACUCCUACGGGAGGCAGCAGUGGGGAAUAUUGCACAAUGGGCGAAAGCCUGAUGCAGCGACGCCGCGUGAGGGAUGACGGCCUUCGGGUUGUAAACCUCUUUCGCUCAUGGUCAAGCCGCAACAAUGGUUGUGGUGAGGGUAGUGGGUAAAGAAGCACCGGCUAACUACGUGCCAGCAGCCGCGGUAAUACGUAGGGUGCGAGCGUUGUCCGGAAUUAUUGGGCGUAAAGGGCUUGUAGGCGGUUUGUCGCGUCUGCCGUGAAAUCCUCUGGCUUAACUGGGGGCGUGCGGUGGGUACGGGCAGGCUUGAGCGCGGUAGGGGAGACUGGAACUCCUGGUGUAGCGGUGGAAUGCGCAGAUAUCAGGAAGAACACCGGUGGCGAAGGCGGGUCUCUGGGCCGUUACUGACGCUGAGGAGCGAAAGCGUGGGGAGCGAACAGG